This 229-nucleotide ribosomal RNA is filed under the name uncultured bacterium. RNAcentral's name for it is "partial 16S ribosomal RNA". It matches the Rfam family "Bacterial small subunit ribosomal RNA", at positions 568 to 796 of the family's 1533-position model. The record is from RNAcentral.
UAUGUAGGUGGUUAAGUAAGUCGAGCGUGAAAUCCAUUGGCUCAACCAAUGAACUGCACUCGAAACUGCAUAACUUGAGUUCAGGAGAGGAAAGCGGAAUUCCCGGUGUAAGAGUGAAAUCUGUAGAGAUCGGGAGGAACACCAGUGGCGAAGGCGGCUUUCUAGACUGAUACUGACACUGAAAUACGAAAGCUAGGGGAGCAAACAGGAUUAGAUACCCUGGUAGUCC